RNAcentral lists this long non-coding RNA (1204 nucleotides) under Apteryx rowi (Okarito brown kiwi). Its description in RNAcentral is "lncRNA (ENSARWG00000008637.1)". The record is from RNAcentral. Lineage: Eukaryota; Metazoa; Chordata; Aves; Apterygiformes; Apterygidae.
GGCGAGCUGCCGCAGUGCGUGUGGUGGGUGCAGCGCGACGCCGGCGUCUUCCAGUUCAGCUCGCGCCACAAGGAGACGCUGGCGCGGGCCUGGGGCCGCCGCAAGGGCAACCGGCGCGCCAUGACCUACCCCAAGCUGGCGCGCGCCCUGCGCACCUACGCCCGCACCGGCGAGGUGCGCAAGGUGCGCCGCAAGCUCACCUACCGCUUCGGCCCCGCGCUGCUGCCCCCCGCCCCGCGCGGCCCUGCUGGCGCCGGCAACCCCGCGGGAGGUCCCGCUGCCACCGUCGGCCCCGUGGCAGGUCUCACGGGAGAUCCUGGUGACGCCAUCCGGCCUGUAGGAGGUCCCGCUGCCACCGUCGGCCCCAUGGCAGGUCUCACGGGUGGCGCUGGUGGCACCGGGAACCCCAUAGGAGGUCCACUGGGUGGCCCUGGUGGCACCGUCAACACCGUGGGAGGUCUCGCGGGUGGCCCUGGCGGCAUCGUCAGCCUCAUAGGAGGUCUCAUAGGUGGCCCUGGUGGCAUCGUCAACCCCAUGGGAGGUCCCACGGGUGGCCCUGGUGGCACCAUCAACCCCAUAGGAGGUCCCCUGGGUGGCCCUGGUGGCAUCAUGAACCCUAGAGGAGGUCCCACAUGUGGCCCCGGUGGCACCGUGAGCUCCAUGGGGUGUCCCAUGGGUGGCCCCAGGGCUGAUGUGCCCCAUGCGGGGUGUCCCUUGGGUGGCCCUGGUGGCUCUGUCAGCCCUAUAGGGUGCCCCACAGGUGGCCCUGGUGGCCCCGUGAGCCCCAUGGGGUGCCCCAUAGGUAGCCCUGGUGACCCUGGUGGCCCUGUGAGCACCAUGGGAUGCCCCAUAGGUGGCCCUGGUGGCCCCAUGAGCCCCAUGGGGUGCCCCAUAGGUAGCCCUGAUGGCCCCGGUGGCCCUGUGAGCCCCAUGGGGUGCCCCAUAGGUGGCCCUGGUGGCCCCGGUGGCCCUGUGAGCCCCAUGGGGUGCCCCAUUGGUGGCCCUGGUGACCUGGUGAGCCCCAUGGGGUGCCCCAUAGGCAUCCCCCUGCCCCCCUAGUGCCCCCCCUCACUGCACUGACCCCCCGCCCACCUGGGGUGGGGGUGGGGCCCGGACGCCUGGGCCCUCUGUAUUUAUUGCCCCCCCCCAGGUGGAGGUGGCUGAAAAAUUUUAUAAAUUCUCAAUAAAAUGGGCAAAAGAGACA